RNAcentral lists this transfer RNA (76 nucleotides) under Candidatus Tantalella remota. RNAcentral describes it as "tRNA-Thr". It matches the Rfam family "tRNA". Rfam says of the family: Transfer RNA (tRNA) molecules are approximately 80 nucleotides in length. Their secondary structure includes four short double-helical elements and three loops (D, anti-codon, and T loops). The record is from RNAcentral. Lineage: Bacteria; Pseudomonadati; Candidatus Omnitrophota.
GCCGGCGUAACUCAGUUGGUAGAGUAGCUGAUUUGUAAUCAGCCUGUCGGGGGUUCGACUCCCUCCGCCGGCUCCA